GUCUACGGCCAUACCACCCUGAACGUGCCCGAUCUCGUCUGAUCUCGGAAGCUAAGCAGGGUCGGGCCUGGUUAGUACUUGCAUGGAAGUAAGCAUACUGAUAGUCGUGAUUC
RNAcentral lists this ribosomal RNA (113 nucleotides) under Neogale vison (American mink). Lineage: Eukaryota; Metazoa; Chordata; Mammalia; Carnivora; Mustelidae. The record is from RNAcentral.